This 1047-nucleotide ribosomal RNA is filed under the name Citrobacter freundii. RNAcentral's name for it is "partial 23S ribosomal RNA". It matches the Rfam family "Bacterial large subunit ribosomal RNA", at positions 1783 to 2825 of the family's 2925-position model. RNAcentral also lists the same sequence under 1 other name. Lineage: Bacteria; Pseudomonadati; Pseudomonadota; Gammaproteobacteria; Enterobacterales; Enterobacteriaceae. The record is from RNAcentral.
AUACCAGCUGGCUGCAACUGUUUAUUAAAAACACAGCACUGUGCAAACACGAAAGUGGACGUAUACGGUGUGACGCCUGCCCGGUGCCGGAAGGUUAAUUGAUGGGGUUAUCCGUAAGGAGAAGCUCUUGAUCGAAGCCCCGGUAAACGGCGGCCGUAACUAUAACGGUCCUAAGGUAGCGAAAUUCCUUGUCGGGUAAGUUCCGACCUGCACGAAUGGCGUAAUGAUGGCCAGGCUGUCUCCACCCGAGACUCAGUGAAAUUGAACUCGCUGUGAAGAUGCAGUGUACCCGCGGCAAGACGGAAAGACCCCGUGAACCUUUACUAUAGCUUGACACUGAACACUGGUCCUUGAUGUGUAGGAUAGGUGGGAGGCUUUGAAGUGUGGACGCCAGUCUGCAUGGAGCCGCCCUUGAAAUACCACCCUUUAAUGGCUGGUGUUCUAACGUAGGCCCGUUACCCGGGUUGCGGACAGUGUCUGGUGGGUAGUUUGACUGGGGCGGUCUCCUCCUAAAGAGUAACGGAGGAGCACGAAGGUUAGCUAAUCCUGGUCGGACAUCAGGAGGUUAGUGCAAAGGCAUAAGCUAGCUUGACUGCGAGCGUGACGGCGCGAGCAGGUGCGAAAGCAGGUCUUAGUGAUCCGGUGGUUCUGAAUGGAAGGGCCAUCGCUCAACGGAUAAAAGGUACUCCGGGGAUAACAGGCUGAUACCGCCCAAGAGUUCAUAUCGACGGCGGUGUUUGGCACCUCGAUGUCGGCUCAUCACAUCCUGGGGCUGAAGUAGGUCCCAAGGGUAUGGCUGUUCGCCAUUUAAAGUGGUACGCGAGCUGGGUUUAGAACGUCGUGAGACAGUUCGGUCCCUAUCUGCCGUGGGCGCUGGAGAAUUGAGGGGGGCUGCUCCUAGUACGAGAGGACCGGAGUGGACGCAUCACUGGUGUUCGGGUUGUCAUGCCAAUGGCACUGCCCGGUAGCUAAAUGCGGAAGAGAUAAGUGCUGAAAGCAUCUAAGCACGAAACUUGCCCCGAGAUGAGUUCUCCCUGACCCUUAAAG